UACGUAGGGUGCAAGCGUUAUUCGGAAUUAUUGGGCGUAAAGCGCAUGCAGGCGGUCUGGUAAGUCUGGUGUGAAAUCCCUCGACUUAAUCGAGGAAGUGCAUUGGAUACUGCUGGACUAGAGUGCAGGAGGGGUGAGCGGAAUUCCUGGUGUAGAGGUGAAAUUCGUAGAUAUCAGGAGGAACAACAGAGGCGAAGGCGGCUCACUGGACUGUAACUGACGCUCAGAUGCGAUAGUGUGGGGAG
Molecule: ribosomal RNA, 245 nt
Filed under: uncultured bacterium
Lineage: Bacteria
Description: partial 16S ribosomal RNA
Rfam family: Bacterial small subunit ribosomal RNA
Source: RNAcentral